This 596-nucleotide ribosomal RNA is filed under the name uncultured bacterium. RNAcentral's name for it is "bacterial SSU rRNA". It matches the Rfam family "Bacterial small subunit ribosomal RNA", at positions 8 to 648 of the family's 1533-position model. The record is from RNAcentral.
AGAGUUUGAUCCUGGCUCAGAGCGAACGCUGGCGGCAGGCCUAACACAUGCAAGUCGAGCGCGUGUAGCAAUACACGAGCGGCAGACGGGAGAGUAACACGUGGGAACGUACCCUUCGGUUCGGAAUAACCCAGGGAAACUUGGAUUAAUACCGGAUACGUCCGAAAGGAGAAAGAUUCAUCGCCGAAGGAUCGGCCCGCGGCUGAUUAGCUAGUUGGUGAGGUAACGGCUCACCAAGGCGACGAUCGGUAGCUGGUCUGAGAGGAUGAUCAGCCUCACUGGGACUGAGACACGGCCCAGACUCCUACGGGAGGCAGCAGUGGGGAAUAUUGGACAAUGGGCGCAAGCCUGAUCCAGCCAUGCCGCGUGGGUGAUGAAGGCCCUAGGGUUGUAAAGCCCUUUCGGCGGGGAAGAUAAUGACGGUACCCGCAGAAGAAGCCCCGGCUAACUUCGUGCCAGCAGCCGCGGUAAUACGAAGGGGGCUAGCGUUGCUCGGAAUCACUGGGCGUAAAGCGCACGUAGGCGGAUCGUUAAGUCGGAGGUGAAAUCCUGGAGCUCAACUCCAGAACUGCCUUCGAUACUGGCGAUCUUGGAGU